AUCCGGAGGGUGCAAACGUUGUUCGGAAUCACUGGGCGUAAAGGGCGCGCAGGCGGUUUGAUUAGUCAGAUGUGAAAGCCCACGGCUUAACCGUGGAAGUGCAUUUGAAACUGUCAGACUUGAGUACCAGAGGGGGUAGUGGAAUUCCCGGUGUAGAGGUGAAAUUCGUAGAUAUCGGGAGGAAUACCGGUGGCGAAGGCGACUACCUGGCUGGAUACUGACGCUGAGGCGCGAAAGCGUGUGGAGCAAACAGGAUUAGAAACCCCGGUAGUCC
This 274-nucleotide ribosomal RNA is filed under the name uncultured bacterium. RNAcentral describes it as "partial 16S ribosomal RNA". It matches the Rfam family "Bacterial small subunit ribosomal RNA", at positions 523 to 796 of the family's 1533-position model. The record is from RNAcentral.